AGGGUUUGAUUAUGGCUCAGGAUGAACGCUAGCUACAGGCUUAACACAUGCAAGUCGAGGGGCAGCGAUAUCGAAAGCUUGCUUUUGAUAGGCGGCGACCGGCGCACGGGUGCGUAACGCGUAUCGAACCUACCUCAUACUCGGGAAUAGCCUUGCGAAAGUAAGAUUAAUGCCCGAUGUUUUCAACAGCCCGCAUGAGUUGUUGAACAAAGAUUUAUCGGUAUGAGAUGGCGAUGCGUCCCAUUAGUUAGUUGGCGGGGUAACGGCCCACCAAGACAUCGAUGGGUAGGGGUUCUGAGAGGAAGGUCCCCCACAUUGGAACUGAGACACGGUCCAA
Molecule: ribosomal RNA, 337 nt
Filed under: uncultured bacterium
Lineage: Bacteria
Description: bacterial SSU rRNA
Rfam family: Bacterial small subunit ribosomal RNA
Source: RNAcentral